RNAcentral lists this ribosomal RNA (498 nucleotides) under uncultured bacterium. Its description in RNAcentral is "partial 16S ribosomal RNA". It matches the Rfam family "Bacterial small subunit ribosomal RNA", at positions 30 to 523 of the family's 1533-position model. The record is from RNAcentral.
AUUGAACGCUGGCGGCAUGCCUUACACAUGCAAGUCGAACGGUAACAGGUCUUCGGAUGCUGACGAGUGGCGAACGGGUGAGUAAUACAUCGGAACGUGCCCAGUCGUGGGGGAUAACUACGCGAAAGCGUAGCUAAUACAGCAUACGAUCUAUGGAUGAAAGCGGGGGAUCGCAAGACCUCGCGCGAUUGGAGCGGCCGAUGGCAGAUUAGGUAGUUGGUGGGGUAAAGGCUCACCAAGCCGACGAUCUGUAGCUGGUCUGAGAGGACGACCAGCCACACUGGGACUGAGACACGGCCCAGACUCCUACGGGAGGCAGCAGUGGGGAAUUUUGGACAAUGGGCGCAAGCCUGAUCCAGCCAUGCCGCGUGCAGGAUGAAGGCCUUCGGGUUGUAAACUGCUUUUGUACGGAACGAAAAGUCUCUUUCUAAUAAAGAGGGAUCAUGACGGUACCGUAAGAAUAAGCACCGGCUAACUACGUGCCAGCAGCCGCAGUAA